GAGAGGGGGAAGGGAGGAAGGAGGGAAGGAGGCCACUGCAGAAAGUGGCACUGAUCCCCCUGGGCCUCCCUGGGGCCUCAUGCGUAAGAUGGCGGCUGCCCCAGAGUGGCAGUGGCAAGUGAGCAGCCGUGGAAGGUGCCCGGGCAGGGCCAUGCAGGCAGCCAUGUGCGAAGCAGGCAGCCUUGGGCCAGGUUCCCUAGAAGCAGAGCUGAGAUGGGGAUUUCUGAUCAUGCGAUUGGGGGUGCUGCCUAAGAAGUUGCUCUCUGCCCCAACUCCGAGCCAGGGCAGCACUGACUGGGGGCAACUUUCCCCUGCAGGGGGCGCUCCCAGCUGCCGGGGAGGGGCAGUGGCCCUGAAGGGGCCUGGUCAGGACCAGCAGUUUUCUCUGUGGUGGUGUUUGUUCCCAUUUCACAGAUGAAGAAACUGAGGCUUGGAGAGACCCAGGACCUUGCCCAGGCCCCACACCACACCCAGAAGGGGCGGUGCUGGAGUCCUGCACCACGUUGCCGUUCUCACCAGGAGGAGGCCCUCGUUUGCUGCGUCCAGCGACCCCAUCUCCACGCUGCAGGCAGGAGAACACAGCCGGGUGUGAGCCACGAGCGAGGCCUCACAGGGAAGCGAGAGCAGUGGUGUUGCCGUCUGGAUAUCAGAGACGCUCACUGGCUUCCGCCCCACAUGGGGCUCUGAGCCAGGCCUCAGGGUUUUGAGUCCCUGGGUGUGGCACCCAAGGGGGUGGCCAGGUGGGGUGGAGUGUGAGUUUGAGUGAUUUGGCAUCCCUGUGGAGAUGUUAGGGAGAGUGGGUACCUGUGUCUGCAGCUCCAGAGCGAGAUCCGGGCUGGACAUAGACACGGGGAGCCAUGCGGUGGAGGUGGCCUGCUUCUGUUUGCAGCUGUAAUAAAUCACCAGGAACUCAGCGGUGGGAGUGCCCAGACGCGUGACCAGUUCUCACUGGACUUGGUUAUCCAGAUCCUGUGGGCUGAAGUCAAGGUGUCGGCAGGGCUGGGUCCUCCUGGAGGCUCCAGAGGAGAAUCCGUUCCCUGCCUUUUCCAGCUCCCAGAAGCCUCCCGCGUUCCUGGGCUAGGGGCCCUUCCUCCCUCUCAGAGCGGGCCACGGUGUGUCCUCUGACCUUCCACAGUCAUGUUCCCCUUCGAUGGGGCUCUGCUUCCAGCCCUCCCUCCACACUGAAGGCCCCCAUGAUCACAUGGCUCACCCGCCAAUCCAGGUGGCCUCCCUCCAAGGUCAGCCGAUGAACUGCCUUCAUGCCUGCAUGGUGUCUCCGACCCUCGUCCACACAACCUGACAUAGUCACAGGUCCUGGAGCAGUGACCAGCAGUGACCAUCAUCACCCAAUGAGGAUGGAGAGAAGCUGAGGCUGUCCUGAGACGUCCUGGGGAAUGAGCUGGCACCGGGGUCCCACUGGUGAAGGGCAAGCAUGGAGAUGGGCCAGGAGCAUGCUCCCUGCCAUUGUGCGUGGCACAGAAGGUCAGGAAUGGCUUGGCGGCCCCGUGGGAAACCGGUUACUCCAAUCGGGUCCAGCAGAACCCCAGGCAGCCUUGUGGCAGCAUGGGGGGAGGGUCUAUGCUUAGCGAUGUGGCAGACGUCCAGAGUGCCCUGAGCUUUAAUAACAGCGACUUACAGAAGUGUGCAGGCCCAUUCUGAAAACACACGCAGUCUGAAAAACGUCCAGAGGGACAGGCCUGAAAACGUUAAGAGCACUUCAAUCCUGGGGGUUGGUUUUGGGGAUGCCUCCCUUCUCUGUGGUGGUCUGCACUUGCAAUUUCACUGACUGGGAGUCAGGAUAAUGCCCCCCGCCCCCCACCCCCCGCAAAAUGCCCACCUUUUAGUCUCUAAAACCGGUACCUAUGACCUUACAUGGAACGGAGACUUUGCAGAAGUGAUUUUGGAUCUCGAGAAGGGGAGGUUAUCCUGGCUUGGUGCUGGUCAUUAUCCCAGAAAACACAAUCCCAAAAGCCAGGAUCCGGAAUGCCAAAAUCCUGAAAAAUCAAAAUCCCUAAAGUCUAAAAUCCCUAACAUCUGAUUGGAUCCCUAAACCAUAAUGACACAUUUGGAAUUAGGUUCAAUCAAGGCUUCUAAAAGCGCAUUUCAAGGUGUUAGCAAUAAAGUUUGUUUUUCUCCAUUCAGCCCAAUGCAUUUGGCAAAAAAAAAAAAAAAAAAAAAAAAAAUCCAGAUGAGUGGAUUGGCCAGGCAUACGGUAGUGACAAAAUCUUUGGUUUAAAACUGCAUCAUUUGCCUGCACUAGCAUUUCUUCCAACUGAUGAAAUUCUAGCGGAGUCCUGUCCUAAAGGAUGAGAAGCAACUAUUCAUUGAGAUGAGAGACUUCAAAAAUAAUCAGUGAUCAUGAAAGUUGGCCAGCUCUUCUGGACCAUCUCUGUGCAGUUGCCCUAAUCUAUCCCUGCAAUGGAUCCCUUUAAUACACUUGGUCAUAUGUUGAA
Macaca mulatta (Rhesus monkey) is the source of this 2453-nucleotide long non-coding RNA. RefSeq lists it as uncharacterized. The record is from RefSeq and is a predicted model, not a curated record. Lineage: Eukaryota; Metazoa; Chordata; Mammalia; Primates; Cercopithecidae.